GCUGGGUGUGGUGGUGCGCACCUGUAGUCCUUGCUACUUAGGAGGCUGAGAUAGGAGGAUUACUUGAGCCCAGGAGUUCAUGACCAGUCUGGGCAAUACAGCAAGACCCUGUCUCAA
This is an unclassified non-coding RNA of Pongo abelii (Sumatran orangutan), 117 nucleotides long. It matches the Rfam family "Metazoan signal recognition particle RNA". From Rfam's summary of the family: The signal recognition particle (SRP) is a universally conserved ribonucleoprotein. It is involved in the co-translational targeting of proteins to membranes. The record is from Ensembl. NCBI's taxonomy places the organism in Eukaryota, Metazoa, Chordata, Mammalia, Primates, Hominidae.